AUGUCUGCAGAGGGAUCAUCUAGGAUGGCCUCUGCUCCUCGAUCCACCAUCUCCACGCGUCAAGAUACAGUCCCACCCUCUCCUUCACUGGCCAAUCCUGCAGCUUGCUGUCCACCUACAACUGCCACAAACAACCAAUCAGCAACUACUCUGUCGCCAAGCAACAACCAGUCAACACUGGAAGUGAGUAGUCCAGUCCCUACACUGCGCAGCAUCAACAAGAAGGCCAAGUCCAGGCCUAUGGACAAGGACGGACGCUACCGGAACCGUCUAAGCCACACCUCCGCCCCCAUAUACCUGUCCAAGGCUAAGAAACCUGCCCCUGCACAGGACCUGGGGGGUGUAGGGGGAGUGGGGGGGGUCAACAACCGGCUGCCUGGACCGGGUGGGCCUGAAGACCAGCAGACACUGCCCCUGCCUCAGAGACAACGCAGGGACAACACACACAUCAGCACGGAGGAGGAAACAGGAGGAAGAUCAUCCCCUUCCAUUAUAGAUCUGCACAUCCUGGAGACAAACCAACACAUCUCAUCACACAACUGUCCCCAUCCUGACAGCUGCAGCUAUUCAGUAUCACUCCAAGGAACCAGGAACUCCUCCAUGUCACAAAUCACUCUACACAUGAGAUCCAGCGUCAGCGUGUGGGUCAAACAGUGUGCAGUCACCAGAGGACGUCUGUGUCCUGACCACAGAGAGACAGAGCUCUACGCUGCAGAAAGGACAGCUACUGAGGGGACAGAUCACCUGUGGUCAGUAUCUGUACUGUCAUUCCAGGACGUUACCUAUCACUUCAGAGUGGCCAAGUCUGUGAGUAUUGAAUAUAAAUACAUUUGA
This 834-nucleotide long non-coding RNA is filed under the name Oncorhynchus mykiss (rainbow trout). RNAcentral describes it as "lncRNA (ENSOMYG00000074927.1)". Lineage: Eukaryota; Metazoa; Chordata; Actinopteri; Salmoniformes; Salmonidae. The record is from RNAcentral.